This 673-nucleotide ribosomal RNA is filed under the name uncultured bacterium. Its description in RNAcentral is "bacterial SSU rRNA". It matches the Rfam family "Bacterial small subunit ribosomal RNA", at positions 819 to 1492 of the family's 1533-position model. The record is from RNAcentral.
GGUGUAGGAUGUAUUAAGCAUUCUGUGCCGCCGCUAACGCAUUAAGUAUCCCACCUGGGGAGUACGGCCCGCAAGGUUGAAACUCAAAGGAAUUGACGGGGGGCCCGCACAAGCAGUGGAGUAUGUGGUUUAAUUCGAAGCAACGCGAAGAACCUUACCAGGGCUUGACAUAUACAGGAAUAUCAUAGAGAUAUGAUAGCUUUUCGGAGUCUGUAAACAGGUGGUGCAUGGUUGUCGUCAGCUCGUGUCGUGAGAUGUUGGGUUAAGUCCCGCAACGAGCGCAACCCUUGUGAUUAGUUGCCAGCACGUAGAGGUGGGAACUCUAAUCAGACUGCCGGUGAUAAAUCGGAGGAAGGUGGGGACGACGUCAAAUCAUCAUGCCCUUUAUGUCCUGGGCUACACACGUACUACAAUGGUCGUAACAAAGAGAAACGAAACAGUGAUGUAGAGUGAAACUUAAAAAGCGAUCUCAGUUCGAAUUGAAGGCUGAAAUUCGCCUUCAUGAAGUCGGAAUUGCUAGUAAUGGCAGGUCAGCAUACUGCCGUGAAUACGUUCCCGGGCCUUGUACACACCGCCCGUCACACCAUGAGAGUUGGAGAUACCCGAAGCCUAUGAGCUAACUUUAAGAGGCAGUAGUCGAAGGUAGAAUCAAUGAUUGGGGUGAAGUCGUAAC